AGGACGAACGCUGGCGGCGUGCCUAACACAUGCAAGUGGAGCGACGAACCAGGCUUCGGCCUGGGGCAGAGCCGCGAACGGGUGAGUAACACGUGGGUAACCUGCCCUGAUGAUUGGGACAACCCGAGGAAACUCGGGCUAAUACCGAAUGUGCCCUCCGGCCUCAAGGCCGUUGGGGAAAGGAAGCUUCGGCCUCCGCAUCGGGAUGGGCCCGCGGCCCAUUAGCUUGUUGGUGGGGUAACGGCCUACCAAGGCGACGACGGGUAGCCGGCCUGAGAGGGCGACCGGCCACACUGGUACUGAGACACGGCCCAGACUCCUACGGGAGGCAGCAGUGGGGAAUAUUGCGCAAUGGGCGAAAGCCUGACGCAGCGACGCCGCGUGGGGGAUGAAGGCCUUCGGGUUGUAAACCCCUUUCAGCAGGGACGAAGCGAAAGUGACGGUACCUGCAGAAGAAGCGCCGGCUAACUACGUGCCAGCAGCCGC
RNAcentral lists this ribosomal RNA (486 nucleotides) under uncultured bacterium. RNAcentral describes it as "SSU rRNA". It matches the Rfam family "Bacterial small subunit ribosomal RNA", at positions 26 to 518 of the family's 1533-position model. The record is from RNAcentral.